GCUGACCAUCAGGAUGUUCACAUAUGGAACGUUGAGCCUGCCUUCAAGGCUGCGAUGCAGGGUAGCCUUCUCCAUUCACCCAAUUGGUGACAAUCAGCUCAGUGGUCUCACCCCAGCGCAGACCGAGCCCUGGGCACUCUGACCACAGCCUGAGAGGAGAGCUACUUCCUUUCGCAUCAUCCUACUGCUGUCCUUCCAUCGAAUCACAGCAAAAUUCUAUUAUAAUGAAAAGAUUCUAUUAUAUUAGAAUCACAGCACUCCAGUUGCCCCUCGCAGUUUCAACCCUACUUUCACAGGCGUUCUCUCAUUUGCUGCUUACCACAAUGCCCUGAGAACCCAUUCCCAUCGCUGUCUCAUUUGAUCCCCACGUCACAGUAGAGCAGGUAUGCCUUUCCCCACGAUGAGUAAAGAGAGGCUCAGAGACGUUGAUGGACAUAAAGAGCAGUAAGGAGGGGCAGGACCAGACUCUCAUCCCGGUCUCCUAACUCUAAAGUCACUCCAACUUUCCAAGAAGCAGAAUGUGGAAAGGAACAAGGAGAUAAAAGAGCAUGGGCUGAGAAGAGUCCAGCAGCUUCCGGAGGGUGACUCACCACCGAGAGCAUCUGAUGGAAAGGCUUUUUAUCUGGAUGCCUGGCACCAGGCGAAGCGUUCCUCCGCGGUGGGCUCGGACCCGGAGAACAGCGCUUCUGAGCCGUUCCUUUACCAGCAGAGACUUCCAUGGAAGGUCCCACCUCACUCCGUGGCCCUUCCCUCCCUUGCGUGUGGGCUCAGCCUUGGGACACAGCUAUAGCACAGUGGUUAGAGCACAGGCUCUGAAGUCAGGCUGCCUGGGUUCAGAUCUUUCUUCUGCCACUCAGUCACUACGAGAUCUUAGGGAAGUUUGUUAACGUCUGUGCACGUCAGCGAUCCAUCUGUCAAAGGGGGAUGAUAAUUCCCUCCCCGUCAUGGCGAGGAUGGAGUGAGGCAGUACAUGCUUAGAAUAGUUCCUGGCACAGAGGAAUUUCUCGCUCUCCGUCUGCUUCCAGCCUCCCAUUUCCAGCUGCCCUCAGGAAAUUGCCACUGGAUGUCCCCAAGGCACCUCCAACGCCACGAGCCUGAAACAAAGCACAUCCUCUCCUCUGUGCCGAGACCCCCUUCCUGCUGAAGGCGCCCUUAUCCUCCCAGCCCGUGGAGCUCCAGGUCAGAAGCAGCUUUGAUGGCACCUCUUCCUUCCUUCCUGAUGUGCCAGGAGUCGCCAAGCCCACAAAGCUUCCUUCCCAGUCUCGCUGGGGUUCGUCUCCCGCAGCACCUUGGCCUGAGUUCCAGCCCUCCUCCCCUCUCCUCAGGACUCAGGCCCCUUUCCAGUGCGCCCGGCACUGGCUGCCAGAGACAUCUGGCCACUGCAGGACUCUUACCACAUACCCGCCCAACAAGCUGCGGUGAUUCUCUUCGCCUACUGCUGCAAGUCCAGGGGCCCCGUAAAGCAGCCCCUCUCUGACUUCCUUUCCUGUCAGAUCUGUCUUCUCACCCAUCAUUCAGUUUCCUGUGCUCCCUCUGGCUAGAAUGCCCUCCCCCUUCGUGUAUCCAGCCGUAACUACCCAUGAGUCAAGACCUGGAAAGGUAAAUUCCAUUGUAUGCUGUUUUCCCACUCUGCUUAAUAAAUAUAACAGCCCGGAGCUCUCUAAUGAGAACUCUGAGAUUAUUUGCAUGGUCUAUGUGAAAGAGAGCCAUGAUUGAUUGGUGAUGUCUCCCAUGUCAUGGGGUUGAUGUCGUCAUGGGUGUAGGAGGGAGAAAUAGUUGACUAGUGAUGUCUGCCAUGGGUAAAGGAGGGAGCCAUGGGUAAAGGAGGGAGACACAGAAGUAAGUUGCUUUGUCUUGAG
Molecule: long non-coding RNA, 1859 nt
Organism: Equus caballus (horse)
Lineage: Eukaryota; Metazoa; Chordata; Mammalia; Perissodactyla; Equidae
Source: Ensembl